CUAGUAAUGGCAGGUCAGCAUACUGCCGUGAAUACGUUCCCGGGCCUUGUACACACCGCCCGUCACACCAUGGGAGUUUGUAACGCCCAAAGUCGGUGGCCUAACCUUUAUGGAGGGAGCCGCCUAAGGCGGGACAGAUNACUGGGGUGAAGUCGUAACAAGGUACC
RNAcentral lists this ribosomal RNA (167 nucleotides) under uncultured bacterium. Its description in RNAcentral is "partial 16S ribosomal RNA". It matches the Rfam family "Bacterial small subunit ribosomal RNA", at positions 1335 to 1500 of the family's 1533-position model. The record is from RNAcentral.